Molecule: long non-coding RNA, 239 nt
Filed under: Ananas comosus (pineapple)
Lineage: Eukaryota; Viridiplantae; Streptophyta; Magnoliopsida; Poales; Bromeliaceae
Description: long non-coding RNA (ACOM_LNC024159)
Source: RNAcentral
AUUUUCGGGGAUUUCAGGUUCACACGCGAGCGGCGCGACAGCGUGAGGAAAGGACGUAUCUCCGUAGAUAGCGCCCUACCACCGAGUUCAGAGAUAGCAAUAUCCUAAGUCGGCUUAGCUAGGGGUAUAGAAAGGAAAAGAACAAAGUUGUAAUAAUUUAGUAACUUAACUGUAUUCGGAAGUUAAUGUAAUGUAUAAUGAUAACUGAGAUGAAUGCUUGUAAUAGUUUAGCAUUUAUG